This 307-nucleotide ribosomal RNA is filed under the name uncultured Lactobacillus sp. Its description in RNAcentral is "bacterial SSU rRNA". It matches the Rfam family "Bacterial small subunit ribosomal RNA", at positions 225 to 524 of the family's 1533-position model. The record is from RNAcentral. Lineage: Bacteria; Bacillati; Bacillota; Bacilli; Lactobacillales; Lactobacillaceae.
AUGGACCUGCGGUGCAUUAGCUAGUUGGUAGGGUAACGGCUACCAAGGCGAUGAUGCAUAGCCGAGUUGAGAGACUGAUCGGCCACAUUGGGACUGAGACACGGCCAAAACUCCUACGGGAGGCAGCAGUAGGGAAAUCUUCCACAAUGGACGCAAGUCUGAUGGAGCAACGCCGCGUGAGUGAAGAAGGGUUUCGGCUCGUAAAGCUCUGUUGUUGGUGAAGAAGGACAGGGGUAGUAACUGACCUUUGUUUGACGGUAAUCAAUUAGAAAGUCACGGCUAACUACGUGCCCAGCGCCGCGGUAAU